UGGGGAAUUUUGUGCAAUGGGGGAAACCCUGACACAGCGACACCGCGUGAGCGAAGAAGCCCUUUGGGGUGUAAAGCUCUGUCGACAGGGACGAAAAAAAUGACGGUACCUGUAGAGGAAGCAUAGGCUAACUACGUGCCAGCAGCCGCGGUAAGACGUAGGAUGCAAGCGUUGUCCGGAUUUAUUGGGCGUAAAGAGUUCGUAGGCGGUUCGUUAAGUCUGAUGUAAAAGACUGGGGCUCAACCUCGGGACUGCAUUGGAUACUGGCGGACUGGAGUAUGGUAGAGGCAAGUGGAAUUCCCAGUGUAGCGGUGAAAUGCGUAGAUAUUGGGAAGAACACCGGUGGCGCAAGCGACUUGCUGGGCCAUUACUGACGCUGAGGAACGAAAGCUAGGGGAGCGAAUGGG
RNAcentral lists this ribosomal RNA (407 nucleotides) under uncultured bacterium. RNAcentral's name for it is "bacterial SSU rRNA". It matches the Rfam family "Bacterial small subunit ribosomal RNA", at positions 355 to 776 of the family's 1533-position model. The record is from RNAcentral.